This 497-nucleotide ribosomal RNA is filed under the name uncultured bacterium. Its description in RNAcentral is "partial 16S ribosomal RNA". It matches the Rfam family "Bacterial small subunit ribosomal RNA", at positions 28 to 507 of the family's 1533-position model. The record is from RNAcentral.
GAUGAACGCUGGCGGCGUGCCUAAUACAUGCAAGUCGAGCGAACGGACGAGAAGCUUGCUUCUCUGAUGUUAGCGGCGGACGGGUGAGUAACACGUGGAUAACCUACCUAUAAGACUGGGAUAACUUCGGGAAACCGGAGCUAAUACCGGAUAAUAUUUUGAACCGCAUGGUUCAAAAGUGAAAGACGGCCUUGCUGUCACUUAUAGAUGGAUCCGCGCUGCAUUAGCUAGUUGGUAAGGUAACGGCUUACCAAGGCAACGAUGCAUAGCCGACCUGAGAGGGUGAUCGGCCACACUGGAACUGAGACACGGUCCAGACCCCUACGGGAGGCAGCAGUAGGGAAUCUUCCGCAAUGGGCGGAAGCCUGACGGAGCAACGCCGCGUGAGUGAUGAAGGUCUUCGGAUCGUAAAACUCUGUUAUUAGGGAAGAACAUAUGUGUAAGUAACUGUGCACAUCUUGACGGUACCUAAUCAGAAAGCCACGGCUAACUACGUG